GUCUACGGCCAUACCGCCCUGAACGCGCCCGAUCUCGUCUGAUCUCGGAAGCUAAGCAGGGUCGGGCCUGGUUAGUACUUGGAUGGGAGAAAAGCAAAAAACCAUGACA
This 109-nucleotide ribosomal RNA is filed under the name Neogale vison (American mink). The record is from RNAcentral. Lineage: Eukaryota; Metazoa; Chordata; Mammalia; Carnivora; Mustelidae.